UACGUAGGGACCAAGCGUUGUUCGGAUUUACUGGGCGUAAAGGGCGCGUAGGCGGGUGCUCAAGUCCGGGGUGAAAUCCCACAGCUCAACUGUGGAACUGCCUCGGAUACUGGGUGUCUCGAGGGUGGCAGGGGUAUGCGGAACUAUUGGUGGAGCGGUGAAAUGCGUUGAUAUCAAUAGGAACUCCGGUGGCGAAGGCGGCAUACUGGUCCACUUCUGACGCUGAGGCGCGAAAGCCAGGGGAGCAAACGGG
Molecule: ribosomal RNA, 253 nt
Filed under: uncultured bacterium
Lineage: Bacteria
Description: partial 16S ribosomal RNA
Rfam family: Bacterial small subunit ribosomal RNA
Source: RNAcentral